Molecule: ribosomal RNA, 303 nt
Filed under: uncultured bacterium
Lineage: Bacteria
Description: partial 16S ribosomal RNA
Rfam family: Bacterial small subunit ribosomal RNA
Source: RNAcentral
AGCAGCAGCCGCGGUAAUACGUAGGUGGCGAACGUUGUCCGGAAUUAUUGGGCGUAAAGGGAGCGCAGGCGGACAUAUAAGUCCAUCUUAAAAGUGCGGGGCUCAACCCCGUGAGGGGAUGGAAACUGUAUGCCUUGAGUGUAGGAGAGGAAAGCGGAAUUCCCAGUGUAGCGGUGAAAUGCGUAGAUAUUGGGAGGAGCACCAGUGGCGAAGGCGGCUUUCUGGAUUGCAACUGACGCUGAAGCUCGAAAGCCAGGGGAGCGAACGGGAUUAGAGACCCGAGUAGUCCCUGUCUCUUAUACA